This 77-nucleotide transfer RNA is filed under the name Desulfovibrio sp. Its description in RNAcentral is "tRNA-Trp". It matches the Rfam family "tRNA". Rfam says of the family: Transfer RNA (tRNA) molecules are approximately 80 nucleotides in length. Their secondary structure includes four short double-helical elements and three loops (D, anti-codon, and T loops). The record is from RNAcentral. RNAcentral also lists the same sequence under 1 other name. Lineage: Bacteria; Pseudomonadati; Thermodesulfobacteriota; Desulfovibrionia; Desulfovibrionales; Desulfovibrionaceae.
AGGGGUGUAACUCUAACGGCUAGAGUGCCGGUCUCCAAAACCGGAAGUUGGGGGUUCGAAUCCCUCCACCCCUGCCA